This 498-nucleotide ribosomal RNA is filed under the name uncultured bacterium. RNAcentral describes it as "bacterial SSU rRNA". It matches the Rfam family "Bacterial small subunit ribosomal RNA", at positions 28 to 529 of the family's 1533-position model. The record is from RNAcentral.
GAUGAACGCUAGCGGCAGGCUUAACACAUGCAAGUCGAGGGGUAUAGUAGCAAUACUAGAGACCGGCGCACGGGUGCGUAACGCGUAUGCAAUCUACCUUUUACAGAGGGAUAGCCCAGAGAAAUUUGGAUUAAUACCUCAUAGCAUUGCGAAAUGGCAUCAUUUUGCAAUUAAAGUCACAACGGUAAAAGAUGAGCAUGCGUCCCAUUAGCUAGUUGGUAAGGUAACGGCUUACCAAGGCAACGAUGGGUAGGGGUCCUGAGAGGGAGAUCCCCCACACUGGUACUGAGACACGGACCAGACUCCUACGGGAGGCAGCAGUGAGGAAUAUUGGACAAUGGGCGAGAGCCUGAUCCAGCCAUGCCGCGUGCAGGAAGACGGCCCUAUGGGUUGUAAACUGCUUUUGUACGGGAAGAAACACCCCCUCGUGAGGGGGCUUGACGGUACCGUAAGAAUAAGGAUCGGCUAACUCCGUGCCAGCAGCCGCGGUAAUGUCGA